RNAcentral lists this non-coding RNA (120 nucleotides) under uncultured Campylobacter sp. RNAcentral describes it as "purD RNA motif". It matches the Rfam family "purD RNA motif". The record is from RNAcentral. Lineage: Bacteria; Pseudomonadati; Campylobacterota; Epsilonproteobacteria; Campylobacterales; Campylobacteraceae.
UUACACCGUGUCUGUGGGGUCGUUUGAGUCUUGCAAAAGGCGAGAACUUGCAGCCUUUAAGGACAGCCUAGCGGUAUCUUUGACUUUUUGGGGUCAAAUACGCACUCACGACCAUUUGGG